RNAcentral lists this transfer RNA (73 nucleotides) under Microcaldota archaeon. Its description in RNAcentral is "tRNA-Gly". It matches the Rfam family "tRNA". Rfam says of the family: Transfer RNA (tRNA) molecules are approximately 80 nucleotides in length. Lineage: Archaea; Nanobdellati; Microcaldota. The record is from RNAcentral. RNAcentral also lists the same sequence under 1 other name.
GCGAGUAUAGUCUAGCCUGGUAGGACUUUGGGUUUCCAACCCAAUAGCCGGGGUUCAAAUCCCCGUGCUCGCA